CAAAAUACAAUUGUUAAUAUUAUGCAAAAUAUCACUAAAAAAAUUACCUGGCUUGAUGCCUUACAAACAAAGCCAA
This 76-nucleotide transfer RNA is filed under the name uncultured eukaryote. The record is from RNAcentral.